GUCUUUAAAAAAAUGUUACCUAGAUAUGGAGGCAGCUUGUUAUACUUAGUGAAGCAUAUAAUUGCAAAAGAAUGCCCAUGAAGCACAACUUUUUUCUUACAUGGGCUUUAUUUUUUAUGUGCUAAACCCUAACUUAAAUAAUUCACUCAAAGAUAACCCUUGAUUUUCUACCGUUCACAUGUUACAUUUGUUGAAGUGAUCUAGAUUUAUAUUAUUUAAUCUUUUAUGUCACAUAAUAGGUUCAUCUAUUUCUUUUAUUAGAGGUAGUUUUGACACUUUGGCCAUUUACUUAUAUGUUGAUUUUAGGAUCUUUAUCUCUCUUAAUCGGUUAAACUUAUAAAAUAUGGAAAAAUAUACAAUUUUUUUAUUUAUAUUAGAGGUGCGUCUUAUUGUGAAUUGAUAUAUUUACAAGUUUAAUCAGCCCCAUAAUGCCACAAAAAAGAUGAAAAGAAAACUUGCUUUAAGAAAAGCUAGAAGCAAGUUUUUUCAAAUAUAUUGCUGAAGAGUAUCAACUUGUGCCAUAUACGUUGUAUUUGAUUUUAUCUACAUUGACCAGUAUAUGUCUAGCGUAUAAUUGGAUCUGAAAUGGCUGCACUUACUCAAUGUUCUUGCAUGGUGAUAUAUUUGUAAGCACUCUUUUGGCAAAGAAUUUAACGUAUUCGAAUCAUUAUGCUCCAUAAAAGGAAAAAAAAGAAGCUCAAAUAGAAAACAACACCACUGCUAGUAAGAUAGCAAUCCAGGCAAGCGCCAAAGAAAGAAGGGGUACAAGCAAGCACAAGAAUCAAAGCAGGGCAGGAUCGAAGAACUUAGACAACAAGCAAGCGAGAAGGACUCCCUCAAAGGAAGUAUGGGGAGAUUCGGUUACGUCAACUAGAACAUUUCUGCUACACAAUAGAUCAUACAUUCUUCAAAGACGAGGGGUGUUUUGCAAAUAGAAUCUUCAAUACUGAAUUUCUUGAAGUUUGAAUUGAUAACACCAACUGUUAGAUGUUUCUUGAUAAGAUUUGUGUGCGCUGCUCAUGUGAUACGUGAUUCCGGAAAGGCAUUUGAUAUCAUUUAGAUUAAACAUUGAGCAUGAGAAAAACUAGUUGCUAGAAAUGCGCAAUGAGAUUGAAGAGGAUCAUGAAACUAAAACAAGCCAAGCUCGAAGCUAUGCAAAAUCUAUAUAUUGAGAGCCAACAACAAAACUUGGAAGCUAUGAUGCAUUAUGUUACACAAAGUGCUAGUUAGAGAUCGAGAAGAGUAGAGUGUUUCAUUUCUCUUUAUUAUUGUAAUAAUCUACAUCUUGUGUUGACUAUAUUGUUACUUGAGUUUGGAUAACCAUGUAAAGUACACCAUUUUACUAUCAAUAAUAUGUG
RNAcentral lists this long non-coding RNA (1358 nucleotides) under Helianthus annuus (common sunflower). RNAcentral's name for it is "hypothetical non coding rna". Lineage: Eukaryota; Viridiplantae; Streptophyta; Magnoliopsida; Asterales; Asteraceae. The record is from RNAcentral.